GAGUUUGAUCGUGGCUCAGGAUGAACGCUGGCGGCGUGCCUAAUACAUGCAAGUCGAGCGAACGGACGAGAAGCUUGCUUCUCUGAUGUUAGCGGCGGACGGGUGAGUAACACGUGGAUAACCUACCUAUAAGACUGGGAUAACUUCGGGAAACCGGAGCUAAUACCGGAUAAUAUUUUGAACCGCAUGGUUCAAAAGUGAAAGACGGUCUUGCUGUCACUUAUAGAUGGAUCCGCGCUGCAUUAGCUAGUUGGCAAGGUAACGGCUUACCAAGGCAACGAUGCAUAGCCGACCUGAGAGGGUGAUCGGCCACACUGGAACUGAGACACGGUCCAGACUCCUACGGGAGGCAGCAGUAGGGAAUCUU
This 367-nucleotide ribosomal RNA is filed under the name uncultured microorganism. RNAcentral describes it as "bacterial SSU rRNA". It matches the Rfam family "Bacterial small subunit ribosomal RNA", at positions 9 to 365 of the family's 1533-position model. The record is from RNAcentral.